GACUCAGUGAAAUUGAACUCGCUGUGAAGAUGCAGUGUACCCGCGGCAAGACGGAAAGACCCCGUGAACCUUUACUAUAGCUUGACACUGAACAUUGAGCCUUGAUGUGUAGGAUAGGUGGGAGGCUUUGAAGUGUGGACGCCAGUCUGCAUGGAGCCGACCUUGAAAUACCACCCUUUAAUGUUUGAUGUUCUAACGUGGACCCGUAAUCCGGGUUGCGGACAGUGUCUGGUGGGUAGUUUGACUGGGGCGGUCUCCUCCUAAAGAGUAACGGAGGAGCACGAAGGUUGGCUAAUCCUGGUCGGACAUCAGGAGGUUAGUGCAAUGGCAUAAGCCAGCUUGACUGCGAGCGUGACGGCGCGAGCAGGUGCGAAAGCAGGUCAUAGUGAUCCGGUGGUUCUGAAUGGAAGGGCCAUCGCUCAACGGAUAAAAGGUACUCCGGGGAUAACAGGCUGAUACCGCCCAAGAGUUCAUAUCGACGGCGGUGUUUGGCACCUCGAUGUCGGCUCAUCACAUCCUGGGGCUGAAGUAGGUCCCAAGGGUAUGGCUGUUCGCCAUUUAAAGUGGUACGCGAGCUGGGUUUAGAACGUCGUGAGACAGUUCGGUCCCUAUCUGCCGUGGGCGCUGGAGAACUGAGGGGGGCUGCUCCUAGUACGAGAGGACCGGAGUGGACGCAUCACUGGUGUUCGGGUUGUCAUGCCAAUGGCACUGCCCGGUAGCUAAAUGCGGAAGAGAUAAGUGCUGAAAGCAUCUAAGCACGAAACUUGCCCCGAGAUGAGUUCUCCCUGAGACUUUAAGUCUCCUGAAGGAACGUUGAAGACGACGACGUUGAUAGGCCGGGUGUGUAAGCGCAGCGAUGCGUUGAGCUAACCGGUACUAAUGAACCGUGAGGCUUAACCUUAC
RNAcentral lists this ribosomal RNA (903 nucleotides) under Salmonella enterica subsp. enterica serovar Hvittingfoss. RNAcentral's name for it is "partial 23S ribosomal RNA". It matches the Rfam family "Bacterial large subunit ribosomal RNA", at positions 2030 to 2925 of the family's 2925-position model. The record is from RNAcentral. Lineage: Bacteria; Pseudomonadati; Pseudomonadota; Gammaproteobacteria; Enterobacterales; Enterobacteriaceae.